GACGAACGCUGGCGGCGUGCUUAACACAUGCAAGUCGAACGGAAAGGCCCUGCUUUUGUGGGGUGCUCGAGUGGCGAACGGGUGAGUAACACGUGAGUAACCUGCCCUUGACUUUGGGAUAACUUCAGGAAACUGGGGCUCAUACCGGAUAGGAGCUCCUGCUGCAUGGUGGGGGUUGGAAAGUUUCGGUGGUUGGGGAUGGACUGGCGGCUUAUCAGCUUGUUGGUGUGGUAGUGGCUUACCAAGGCUUGGACGGGUAGCCGGGCUGAGAGGGGGAGCGGCACCGCCGCACUGGGAAUGAGACACGGCCCCGACUGGGAGGGGAGGGAGGAGUGGGGAAUACUGGGGGAGGGGCGAAAGCCCGACACAGCAGUGCGGGGGGAGUGAUGAAGGGGUUAGGAUUGUAAUGCCCUUUUAGCCGGGAGGAUAAUGACGGUACCGGGAGAAGAAGCUCCGGCUAACUCCGUG
This 468-nucleotide ribosomal RNA is filed under the name uncultured bacterium. RNAcentral's name for it is "partial 16S ribosomal RNA". It matches the Rfam family "Bacterial small subunit ribosomal RNA", at positions 28 to 507 of the family's 1533-position model. The record is from RNAcentral.